CUGGGUUUCAGCCUUGGGGUAUCUUUUGGAAGCUUGGGAAAGCAAGAGUUGGGCUUUCACCCCCUAAGGAGGGGACCCUCUCUGCCCUCUCCUUGCUCCAUGCCAAGGCUGCCUGAGCUCCCA
This is a microRNA precursor of Equus asinus (donkey), 123 nucleotides long. Lineage: Eukaryota; Metazoa; Chordata; Mammalia; Perissodactyla; Equidae. The record is from Ensembl.